RNAcentral lists this long non-coding RNA (2606 nucleotides) under Equus caballus (horse). RNAcentral describes it as "lncRNA (ENSECAG00000048174.1)". Lineage: Eukaryota; Metazoa; Chordata; Mammalia; Perissodactyla; Equidae. The record is from RNAcentral.
UGGAUGUCCCAGUAAGGGGCCAUAAUGCUGCAGCUGUCCACUUUUGGGUGGUACCUGCAUAUUGUACAAAACCAUCUGUAAAACAGGCCCAGGUCUUCUCUUCCUCUGUCAGCUGACCAUAGAGCACUCCCCAUGAGGUGCAGGCUGGGAGAGAGAAGGCAGUGUAGCAGGAGUGGGCACCAUGGAAUUUUAGCCACUUCUUCAUGUAACUUACUUAUGCUUUCAGGGCCUACUCAGGCCCAGUCACAUAUAUACCACUUCCACUUGAUGAUGGAGUGUUUCUGUGCACACUUAACUUUAUGGCUUAGUCAGCCAGAUAACACCUGGUUUAUGAUGGGCAGCUCAGGUCACAUGGUAACUUGGUGGCCUAUGGUUAAGCAUUCAGUCUCUACAAAGGCCCGAUAGCAGGGCACGAGCUCAUUCUCAAAAGGGGAGUAGUUAUCUGCAGAGGAUGGCAGGGCUUUGCUCCAAACCCAAAGGGCCUGCACUGCGAUUCAGCUAUAGGAGCCUGCCUAAGACUCCAAACAGCAUCCCUAUCUGCCACUGAUACUUCCAGAAUCAUCGCAUCUGCUGGAUCACAUGGCCCAAGUGGCAGCACCAUUUGCACAACAGCCUGGACUGUUGCAGAGGCUUCUCUUGUUCUGGGCCCCACCCAAAACUAGCAGCUUUUGAGUCACUCAGCAAACGGGCCUGAGUAACUCACCCCAGGAGGAAUAUGUUGCCUCUAAAAUCCAAAAAGGCCCACUACAUAUUGUAUUUCUUUUUUGGUUGUAGGAGUGUCUAGAGGCAACAACUUAUUCCUCACCUUAGAAGGGGUAUCUCGAUGUGCUCCUCAUCUCUGGACCCCUAGAAAUUUCACUGAGGUAGAAGGCUCUUGAUUUUGGUUGGAUUUAUUUCCCACACUUUGAUAUGCAAAUGUAUUACCAAUAAGUCUAGAGCAAUUGUUACGUCUUGUUCACUAGGUCCAAUAAGCAUAAUGUCAUCAGUGUCAUGGACCAUUGUGAUAUUUUGUGGAUGGGAAAGAUGAUCAAGAUCAUAGUAGAUUAUGACAUAGGGCUUGAGAGUUGAUAAACCCCCAAGGUAGGACAGUGAAGGUGUAUUGCUGGCCUUGCCAGCUGAAAGCAAACUGCUUCUGAUGGGUGUUAUGGACAAGGAUGGGGAAAAAGGCAUUUACCAGAUCAAUAGCUGCUUACCAGGUACCAGGGGAUGUUUUAAUUUGCUUAAACAAUGAAGUCACAUCUGUUAUAGCAGCUGCAGUUGGAGCUACCAUCUGGUUAAACUUGGAAUAAUCCACUGUCAUUCUCCAGGAUCCAUCCGUCUUCUGCACAGGCUGAACAGGAAAUGAAGUUUAAGAACAAAAAAUCAAGAAAACAAAAGUGCUGAAUAAAUGAGAAAGAUGAAAGCAGACCCAAGACCGACUUGCACUGUAUGUUUAUAAAAUGAAAGUGUUCAGCACUAUUUCUUCAUUGGACCUGCCUGCUCGCAGGUCUGAACGGCUCUUCGCUGCAUAGCGCCAUUCUACGUUGUGCACCAGAAUUUACGAGGAACCAAGUCUCAUACUUAACAUCUAAUUUGCAAAUCAGCAAAGCAAGGCACAAGCCGAGAGAGUAAGCAGAAAUAUUUGCACCUAAAUCAUGACAAGAUAAGAUCACUCUAACACUUACCCCAACAGUAUAUAUAACUAUCAAGGCCCCAUUAAAAAAAUUCCCUCUCAGUGAAGGGUUCAAAUACUGGACAACGAGGUUCAAAGCAGAAUGUUUGGCAACUCUACUCAUAAUUGCCUUUAUUUCUCUCAACAACCCCAUGAAGAAGAUAUCAUUAUUCGUAUUUUACACACAAUAAAAUUUGAACUCAGGGUGUGUAACUUCCUUGGUUCAGAAUGCUCAUAAAUGGUGGACCCGGAAUUCAGACCCAGUCUCGUGAGAACCUAUGGCUCACGCUCUGUCCACAAUGACAUUCUGCCUCUUGUCAUUUGAUGGGUGGGGAAGCAGAUGUUCAGAGAGGAAACCCGACUGAGCCGAAGUCACAGCAAAUGUGUGGCAGACCUGGGAUUCGAUCCGAAGUUUCCCAGUGAAAUGACAUUCCAUAAAACUUGGCUGCCUCCCACGCAUUUCUCAGGGGUACCAACUAUAUAGACGCCAUUGCUUCAGGAAGGACACCCGAAGACCAUAGUAGAGCACAACCUCAAAGAAAUGGUAAAAAGAUAACUGGCGCUUUAGGAUAAAUGCAUCUCACAUGCCGAGAGAAUAAGCAUUCAACUAAGAAUAAACUUCUGACAUGACGCUAUAAAACAUUCCGAGUUCAAGCACAUGCAGAUACUUUAUUUUACAUGGUAGGAUGAUGUAGGGAUAACACUGAAAUGAGAUCUACAUUAAAAGUUGAGCUGUCAUGCAAAAUGAAUGAGCCCUCUUAAAGACAGAACGAGCCUCGCCAGGAGAGCCCACAGCCAGCCUGGUGAGCCAUCCGGAGCCUCUGUUCGGAGGAUGCAAUCUGUGUGCGAGCCAAUAUUGAUAUUCAAGCCACAUCCCACUUGCCUCCACGGGUAGCCUAAAGGUGAAGUUUAGCUAGACCAUGUUCUCUAGCCACAUUUGUAGGAAUGUGUUCAG